Molecule: long non-coding RNA, 816 nt
Organism: Poecilia latipinna (sailfin molly)
Lineage: Eukaryota; Metazoa; Chordata; Actinopteri; Cyprinodontiformes; Poeciliidae
Exons: 3
Source: RefSeq, a predicted model, not a curated record
AAUUAAUAGUGUAGCCCCCGUGAGACUCUUGUUACUUUGCAUAAAGCCAGAGUUUUAGUGUGGGGUCAUUCACCUGUGGUGGCUUUGAAAAAUAGCAGCAAUAAUACAACCCAAAAAAAGAAAAAAAAAAGAUAAAAUAGUGGAGAAAGGGAGGGAGAGAUGGGAGGAGUAUAGUACUGUACGGAGUGUGAGGGUGGGAGAGAUGGGGAGAGUGAAACACACACACACACACACACUCACACGCACAAACACACAGAGAGGGUGCAGAUAGCGGGAGGGGAAAACCUCCUCUCUGAAAGGGAUGAUGUCAGUCUCUGCAGCUGAGCCCCAGUUCCCGACUCUCUCUGCCUCCUGAAAACACACUGGCAGGCUGAUCCACAAAGAGGGGAGGAAGGGGAAACUUCGAGGGGGAGAGCCCCAGCGACAGAAACCCCCGCAGCUCCUGACCAGACGGACCGCGGUGGGCGGGGGGGAUUUUCACCAGCGCACAAAGAAGAAGCAGGGGGACGAGGUUCAGGUCUCGUGACAAUUCAGGAAUAGGAAGAUGUGAGACUCUCCUCCUCCAUGUUUGCAGUCUCUGAGUUCUACAUGCAAGCCAUGGUGUAAUAUGGCUUUUUAUUCCUAUGUGAGGAUGAAAAAUAUUCAUGUAGGAAUAGAAGCUGUUUUACAUGUGGUGAGAGAGCAGCGCAACACAAGUGAGAGCCGCUGGCCGCUCACGGAGACAGAUGCACGACUGGAUAAAUGUAUCUGUCUUCUAUUAAAUGCUUCCCUGUAGUAAAAAAAAAAAAAAAAAAAGGUACAUUUUUGCUCAUUUUU